UUUUUCGAUAUUGAACUUUCCACAGAGCUCUGUUCUUUUCUUUGCAAAACCUUGGAAAUCUUCUAUUUUGUUGAAUGCCCAUACUUUCGCUUGGAAGUAUAUAGUCAGUUUUGAUGGGUAGCUGAUUCUUGGUUGAAGGCCCAGCUCUCUUGCCUUUCUGAAAAUCAUGUUCCAUGCCUUAUGAUCAUUCAGAGUGGAACUUGCAAGGUCUUGUGUGACCCUGUUUGGCAUUCCUUUAUAUCUAAAUUGUCUUUUUCUGGCUUCUUAUGAGUUUUUUUUUUCUUUUGCUUGGAAGCUUUGGAAUUAGGCAAUUACAUUCCUGGGAGUUGUCUUUUGGGGGUUUAGUGUAGAGGGUAUUCUGUGAACUCUUUCAGUGCCUGUAUUUCCCCCUUGUUCUAGAAUCUCUGGGAAAUUUUUUUAUUAUAUCUUGUAUUAUGAUGUUGAAUUUGCUGUUCAUUUCUGGGUUUUCUGGUAGUCCAAUUAUUCUUAAAUUGUCUCUUCUCCCUCUAUUUUCCAAGUCUAUGACCUUGUCAGUGAGAUAUUUUAUGUUCUCUUCUAAUUUCUUGGUCUUUUGGCUUUGCUUUAUUAAUUCUUUCUCUUUUACAUACAUUUUGAGAUCGGUUAGGAAGGGUUUCAGGAGAUCUGAACUUUAGCUCUCUCUAAGCUGCCAUCUUGACCGGAAGUCCCAGAUUAGUUGUUCUUUGAAUGUUUGAUAGAAUUCAUUUGUGAAUCCAUCUGGACCUUUGGGAUAUUUUUCUUAGAGAGUCCUCUGAUGGCUUGUUUAAUUUCUUUUUCUGAUAUGGUGUAGUUUAGGUAAUCUAUUUCUUCCUCUGUUAGUCUAGGCCAUUUAUAUUUUUGUAAUUCAUCCAUAUCACCUAGAUUGCCAUAGUUAUUGCCAUAUACUUGGGCAUAAUUAUUUUUAAUGAUUGCCAUAAUGUCCUUUUCAUUAGAGGUAAGGUCUCCCUUUUCAUCUUGGAUAGUUUCAAUUUGGUUUUCUACUUUCCUUUUUUAAAUUAGAUUGACCAGUACAUGGUCUAUUUUAUUUGUUUUUUUCAAAGUACCAGCUUCUAGUCUUAUUUAUUAAAUCAAUAGUUCUUUGACUUUCAGUUUUAUUAAUUUCUCCUUUGACUUUUUAUCUCUAAUUUAUUCUUCAUCUGAGGAUUUUUAAUUUGUUCACUUUCUAGUUUUUUUUUUUAUUUGCAUGCCC
Molecule: long non-coding RNA, 1207 nt
Filed under: Monodelphis domestica (gray short-tailed opossum)
Lineage: Eukaryota; Metazoa; Chordata; Mammalia; Didelphimorphia; Didelphidae
Description: lncRNA (ENSMODG00000040738.1)
Source: RNAcentral